CUUGGCGGUCAUAAUGCUGUGGACCCACCUGAUUCCAUGCCGAACUCAGAAGUGAAACGCAGAGAUGCCGAUGGUAGUGUGGGGUUUCCCCAUGUGAGAGUAGGUCACCGCCAGGU
RNAcentral lists this ribosomal RNA (116 nucleotides) under Conservatibacter flavescens. Lineage: Bacteria; Pseudomonadati; Pseudomonadota; Gammaproteobacteria; Pasteurellales; Pasteurellaceae. The record is from RNAcentral.